UUUCCAUGUAACUAUCCUUUUAGCUUGUUAGUGAGCUAUAAUAUCUGUCUGUCUACACAUCUUUCUGCAGGAUAAUAAAUGUUUAGAAUCUUCUCUGCAGCAAUGACAUUUCUGAAGGGGCUAAGGAUGUUUUACUACAAUUCUUUGAACUUGAACCUUGUGUGACAAGGAAGACACAGCAAGUAAAAGCCUUCAUGUGUCCCACAGCUGCCUCCCUAUCAGAGUCAAGAUCCGAUUUCAUUCCUGAAAGGUCCUAUUGUGUUCAGAAGUCACUGCUGGUUGAACAGUAACCUUCAGGACAAGAUGUUGUAGCCAAAACUGGCCUUUAUAGCUUAUCCCUGGAUAGAUAGCACAUGCAGUGCACUUGCGACAUAUGAAUUCUGCAGCAGUUUUGGCUACAUUGCCUACUAGCGCUUCUGCUGAGAGCCCUCCUGGCUGUAAGAGCAUCUCCUCUUGUAUCCGUAAGGUGACAGUGCCACCUGACUUUGCAUCACUGGAGAGCCUUGAAGAAUACACUCAGAACUGCAAGAGCCCUGAAUGCACCUGUAAGUAUACCUCUGGAAUCCUGGAGUCACAAUGUGAAAAUGUGGAUGAUUUGUGUCCAGCAGAAUUUUUGAAAAUGAACAUGGGAGUGGGUAAAAAGCAUGGUUUGGAUACCAUGUGCAGUAAGAAGGGCUCUCAUCAUUUCUACCAAAACACCCUGUCAAGCCUCUGCUCUGCCUAUACUCAUAGAAACCAAUAUCAUGACAACGGAUGUGCAAGUGAAGGACUUCUAUAUGAAUUUUAUACAGAGGCACAAGAUCUUUUUAUAGGGGAAGCAUAUGGAGCAGAGUUUAGACUUAAAAGCCCACUGAUUCUACUUGGAAGCAAAAAUGGACAGCGAAGGUUCUUAGUUAAAAACACAAUUCUCAAAACAAGACAACUACCAGAAUUUAUUCAUUCUGGAGGAUUAAAAACAUCAUAUGCACAGAAGAAAUUAUGCCAGUGA
This 988-nucleotide long non-coding RNA is filed under the name Struthio camelus australis. RNAcentral's name for it is "lncRNA (ENSSCUG00000007561.1)". Lineage: Eukaryota; Metazoa; Chordata; Aves; Struthioniformes; Struthionidae. The record is from RNAcentral.